GUAGGGUGCAAGCGUUACCCGGAUUUACUGGGCGUAAAGGGUUCGUAGGCGUUUUAGUAAGUCAUUCUUCAAAUACCGGGGCUCAACUCCGGACCGGGGAGUGAUACUGCUAGAAUUGAGGCACUUAGGGGCUACUGGAACUGUCGGUGUAGGGGUGAAAUCCGUUGAUGUCGAUAGGAACUCCGAGGGCGAAGGCAGGUAGCUGGGAGUGUUCUGACGCUGAGGGACGAAAGCUAGGGUAGCGAAAGGGAUUAGAGACCCCUGUAGUCCUAGCCGUAAACGAUGCUCGCUAGCCUCGUGAAUUUAUUUGCGGGGCGUAAGCUAACGCGUUAAGCGAGCCCGCCUGGGGAGUACGAGCGCAAGCUUA
RNAcentral lists this ribosomal RNA (367 nucleotides) under uncultured organism. Its description in RNAcentral is "partial 16S ribosomal RNA". It matches the Rfam family "Bacterial small subunit ribosomal RNA", at positions 527 to 896 of the family's 1533-position model. The record is from RNAcentral.